ACUCCUACGGGAGGCAGCAGUAGGGAAUAUUGGUCAAUGGACGGAAGUCUGAACCAGCCAUCCCGCGUGCAGGAAGAAGGAUCUUUGGUCUGUAAACUGCUUUUCUCAAGGAAGAGAGAUAGAGAUUAAUCUUUAGAGGACGGUACUUGAGGAAUAAGCACCGGCUAACUCCGUGCCAGCGCCGCGGUAA
RNAcentral lists this ribosomal RNA (190 nucleotides) under uncultured bacterium. Its description in RNAcentral is "partial 16S ribosomal RNA". It matches the Rfam family "Bacterial small subunit ribosomal RNA", at positions 335 to 523 of the family's 1533-position model. The record is from RNAcentral.